CCUACGGGAGGCAGCCGUGAGGAAUAUUGGUCAAUGGACGAGAGUCUGAACCAGCCAAGUAGCGUGAAGGAUGACUGCCCUAUGGGUUGUAAACUUCUUUUAUAUGGGAAUAAAAUGUUCCACGUGUGGGAUUUUGUAUGUACCAUAUGAAUAAGGAUCGGCUAACUCCGUGCCAGCAGCCGCGGUAAUACGGAGGAUCCGAGCGUUAUCCGGAUUUAUUGGGUUUAAAGGGAGCGUAGGUGGAUUGUUAAGUCAGUUGUGAAAGUUUGCGGCUCAACCGUAAAAUUGCAGUUGAAACUGGCAGUCUUGAGUACAGUAGAGGUGGGCGGAAUUCGUGGUGUAGCGGUGAAAUGCUUAGAUAUCACGAAGAACUCCGAUUGCGAAGGCAGUUCACUGGACUGCAACUGACACUGAGGCUCGAAAGUGUGGGUAUCAAACAGGAUUAGAUACCCCAGUAGUC
RNAcentral lists this ribosomal RNA (460 nucleotides) under uncultured bacterium. RNAcentral's name for it is "partial 16S ribosomal RNA". It matches the Rfam family "Bacterial small subunit ribosomal RNA", at positions 338 to 795 of the family's 1533-position model. The record is from RNAcentral.